This 1120-nucleotide long non-coding RNA is filed under the name Homo sapiens (human). Its description in RNAcentral is "HSALNT0375926". The record is from RNAcentral. Lineage: Eukaryota; Metazoa; Chordata; Mammalia; Primates; Hominidae.
AAAAAAUCUAUUGAGAUGGUGGCGAACAUUACGAAUCUUAACCUUCUUAUAGAAUACCCAAAGAACAGAUCUAAAGAAUUUCAAUAAUGACCAUAGGUUAUGUCAAAUAGUACAUUAGCUAUAUAUAUAUAUAUAUAUAUAUCUGUAAUAAAUAAUAUUUUGAUUAAUUUUCCACCAGAUAUAUACAUAUGUAAUUUUCCUGCUAAUAUAUAUUUGUACCAAAUCUGUACAUUUGAACUUUCCCUUCCAAACGUUUUUUUAUUUGGGUAUAGUUAUUAGCAGUCAUCUGUAGCAGGUCAGAGUGCUGGAAGAGAGGCUGGUAGACAUCAAAAUAAAUGACUUCCGUGCCACAUCUGAGAUGCCCUAGAGGCCGAGAUCAUGAUUCCCUUUGUCAAAUAAACUAAAAGUUCUAGAAUUUUCAGACUCCUGUUAGUUUCUGCUACCACUUAAGUGUUAAUAGCUAAUAAUAGAGCAAGCUUGAUUACUACCUUGGUGUCCUAAAACGGAUGUUGGCCUGCCAGGGAGCAGCCAAGGUGAAGUUUUCAACCAGGCCGACCAACUUCAGAGUCCACUGGCUUCAAAACAGUGCUUUACAUCCUCCUUCCAACAUUAUUCACAAGCCGAUCAAGACUGAGAGAGUCACAAGUGUGUGAAACCUGUAUUCUUUCUGACUUCAUUUUCCCUGGUCGAAAUUUUUGUAGAAUAGACAAAUCAAGAAUGAUGACUUCUUAAGAUGCAGUAUUCAAGUUCAGAAAUCUAUACUCAGAUGACCUUAUGUAGGUCAUCUGCUUCUGAGGUUUAUCUCACCAGUGUCAUAGAAACCUGUAUUAAGAAAACAGAUUUCAGGAGCCUUUGAACAAGAAGAGAGAGGAAGAAUGACAUAACUGAACAAGAGAGAUGGCGAGCAGAGUUUCCUGAAUGCUGUGAGCAGAACAAUUGGACAGAUGAGGGAAGUCUGUGACAAUCCAGUGGAAUCACGCAGUGUGUUUAAGUAAAGCUCCCUUUGCUCAAAAUAAAUUUUAAAAGGAAAUUAAAUUCUAACCACGUCUUAGGCAUAAAAUGACCCUCUUUUCUUAUCUAGCCUCAUUCUCUGAAGGUAUACAAGAAUGUUUCAGGUACC